GACGAACGCUGGCGGCGUGCUUAACACAUGCAAGUCGAACGGAAAGGCCCUGCUUUUGUGGGGUGCUCGAGUGGCGAACGGGUGAGUAACACGUGAGUAACCUGCCCUUGACUUUGGGAUAACUUCAGGAAACUGGGGCUAAUACCGGCUAGGAGCUCCUGCUGCAUGGUGGGGGUUGGAAAGUUUCGGCGGUUGGGGAUGGACUCGCGGCUUAUCAGCUUGUGGGUGGGGUAGUGGCUUACCAAGGCCUUGACGGGUAGCCGGCCUGAGAGGGUGACCGGCCACAUUUCGACUUCGUUACGGCCCAGACCCCUUCGGGCCGCAGCAGUGCGGAUUAUUGCCCAGUGCGCCGCAGCCUGACCCAGCAACGCCGCGUGCGGGAUGUCGUCCUCCGGCUUGUACUCCGCUUGCGGGUGUGUCGGGCCGUGGGUGUCGCUAAUGGGUACGGAAGCGCUGCCUAUGUUCUUU
RNAcentral lists this ribosomal RNA (468 nucleotides) under uncultured bacterium. Its description in RNAcentral is "partial 16S ribosomal RNA". It matches the Rfam family "Bacterial small subunit ribosomal RNA", at positions 28 to 507 of the family's 1533-position model. The record is from RNAcentral.